UACGGGGGGGGCAAGCGUUGUUCGGAAUUACUGGGCGUAAAGGGCUCGUAGGCGGCCAACUGAGUCGGAUGUGAAAUCCCCAGGCUUAACCUGGGAACUGCAUCCGAUACUGGAUGGCUUGAAUCCGGGAGAGGGAUGCAGAAUUCCAGGUGUAGCGGUGAAAUGCGUAGAUAUCUGGAGGAAUACCGGUGGCGAAGGCGGCAUCCUGGACCGGCAUUGACGCUGAUGAACGAAAGCUAGGGGAGCAAACGGG
This 253-nucleotide ribosomal RNA is filed under the name uncultured bacterium. RNAcentral's name for it is "partial 16S ribosomal RNA". It matches the Rfam family "Bacterial small subunit ribosomal RNA", at positions 524 to 776 of the family's 1533-position model. The record is from RNAcentral.